This 75-nucleotide transfer RNA is filed under the name Schistocerca americana (American grasshopper). RNAcentral describes it as "tRNA-Ser". It matches the Rfam family "tRNA". Rfam says of the family: Transfer RNA (tRNA) molecules are approximately 80 nucleotides in length. Lineage: Eukaryota; Metazoa; Arthropoda; Insecta; Orthoptera; Acrididae. The record is from RNAcentral.
UGCUUGGGUAGCUCAGUCGGUAGAGCGCUUGCCCGUGAAAGGCAAAGGUCCCGAGUUCGAGUCUCGGUCCAGCAC